RNAcentral lists this ribosomal RNA (303 nucleotides) under uncultured bacterium. RNAcentral describes it as "partial 16S ribosomal RNA". It matches the Rfam family "Bacterial small subunit ribosomal RNA", at positions 507 to 807 of the family's 1533-position model. The record is from RNAcentral.
AGCAGUCGCCGCGGGAAUACGGAGGAUGCGAGCGUUAUCCGGAUUUAUUGGGUUUAAAGGGUGCGUAGGCGGCCUGUUAAGUCAGCGGUGAAAUCUAGGAGCUUAACUCCUAAAUUGCCGUUGAUACUGGCGGGCUUGAGUGUAGAUGAGGUAGGCGGAAUGCGUGGUGUAGCGGUGGAAUGCAUAGAUAUCACGCAGAACUCCAAUUGCGAAGGCAGCUUACUAAGGUACAACUGACGCUGAAGCACGAAAGCGUGGGUAUCAAACAGGAUUAGAUACCCCUGUAGUCCCUGUCUCUUAUAC